AAACAAUGAUGUGGACACCUCUUAAGUAGCUCCUUGUAUCUUUCCCAAGUUUCAUAUAUGUUCUCUGUGUCAUACUGAAUAAAGGUCUGGAUAUCUGCCCUUAACUU
Molecule: small nucleolar RNA, 107 nt
Organism: Hevea brasiliensis (rubber tree)
Lineage: Eukaryota; Viridiplantae; Streptophyta; Magnoliopsida; Malpighiales; Euphorbiaceae
Source: RefSeq, a predicted model, not a curated record